Molecule: ribosomal RNA, 811 nt
Filed under: Pseudocercospora parapseudarthriae
Lineage: Eukaryota; Fungi; Ascomycota; Dothideomycetes; Mycosphaerellales; Mycosphaerellaceae
Description: eukaryotic LSU rRNA
Rfam family: Eukaryotic large subunit ribosomal RNA
Source: RNAcentral
CAGGGAUUGCCCUAGUAACGGCGAGUGAAGCGGCAACAGCUCAAAUUUGAAAUCUGGCGUAAGCCCGAGUUGUAAUUUGUAGAGGAUGCUUCUGGGUAGCGGCCGGUCUAAGUUCCUUGGAACAGGACGUCAUAGAGGGUGAGAAUCCCGUAUGUGACUGGCUUGCACCCUCCACGUAGCUCCUUCGACGAGUCGAGUUGUUUGGGAAUGCAGCUCUAAAUGGGAGGUAAAUUUCUUCUAAAGCUAAAUACCGGCCAGAGACCGAUAGCGCACAAGUAGAGUGAUCGAAAGAUGAAAAGCACUUUGGAAAGAGAGUUAAAAAGCACGUGAAAUUGUUGAAAGGGAAGCGCCCGCAACCAGACUUUGCGGCGGUGUUCGGCUGGUCUUCUGACCGGUUUACUCGCCGCCGUGAGGCCAUCAUCGUCUGGGACCGCUGGAUAAGACCUGAGGAAUGUAGCUCCCUUCGGGGUGUGUUAUAGCCUCUGGUGAUGCAGCGCGUCUCGGGCGAGGUCCGCGCUUCGGCAAGGAUGAUGGCGUAAUGGUUGUCGGCGGCCCGUCUUGAAACACGGACCAAGGAGUCUAACAUCUAUGCGAGUGUUCGGGUGUCAAACCCCUACGCGUAAUGAAAGUGAACGGAGGUGGGAACUUUUUGUGCACCAUCGACCGAUCCUGAUGUCCUCGGAUGGAUUUGAGUAAGAGCAUAGCUGUUGGGACCCGAAAGAUGGUGAACUAUGCCUGAAUAGGGUGAAGCCAGAGGAAACUCUGGUGGAGGCUCGCAGCGGUUCUGACGUGCAAAUCGAUCGUCAAAUUU